AAACUAACAAGGAUUCCCCUAGUAACGGCGAGUGAACCGGGAAGAGCUCAAAUUUGUAAUCUGGCCUUUGGUCCGAGUUGUAAUCUAUAGAGGCGUUUUCCGCGCUGGAUCGUGUCCAAGUCUCUUGGAACAGAGUAUCAAAGAGGGUGAUAAUCCCGUACUUAACACGACCACCAGUGCUAUGUGAUACGUCUUCUACGAGUCGAGUUGUUUGGGAAUGCAGCUCAAAAUGGGUGGUAAAUUCCAUCUAAAGCUAAAUAUUGGCGAGAGACCGAUAGCGAACAAGUACCGUGAGGGAAAGAUGAAAAGCACUUUGGAAAGAGAGUUAAACAGUACGUGAAAUUGUUGAAAGGGAAACGAUUGAAGUCAGUCGUGUUCAUUGGACUCAGCCGGUUCUGCCGGUCUACUUCCUUUGAACGGGUCAACAUCAGUUUCGUCUGGUGGAUAAGGGCAGGAGGAAUGUGGCACCCUCGGGUGUGUUAUAGCCUCUUGUCGCAUACACUGGGUGAGACUGAGGAAUGCAGCUUGCCUUUUGGCCGGGGUUCGCCCACGUACAAGCUUAGGAUGUUGACAUAAUGGCUUUAAACGAC
This 590-nucleotide ribosomal RNA is filed under the name Bullera formosensis (nom. inval.). RNAcentral's name for it is "eukaryotic LSU rRNA". It matches the Rfam family "Eukaryotic large subunit ribosomal RNA", at positions 62 to 648 of the family's 3401-position model. Lineage: Eukaryota; Fungi; Basidiomycota; Tremellomycetes; Tremellales; Bulleraceae. The record is from RNAcentral.